AACGAACGCUGGCGGCGCGCCUAAUACAUGCAAGUCGAGCGAGAAGACGUAGCAAUACGUUUGUAAAGCGGCGAACGGGUGAGGAAUACAUGGGUAACCUACCCUCGAGUGGGGAAUAACUAGCCGAAAGGUUAGCUAAUACCGCGUACGCUCCUUGGACUUCGGUUCAGGGAGGAAAGCGAUACCGUGGGUAUCGCGCUCUUGGAUGGGCUCAUGUCCUACCAGCUUGUUGGUGAGGUAACGGCUCACCAAGGCUUCGACGGGUAGCUGGUCUGAGAGGACGAUCAGCCACACUGGCACUGCGACACGGGCCAGACUCCUACGGGAGGCAGCAGUAAGGAAUAUUGCGCAAUGGGCGAAAGCCUGACGCGGCGACGCCGCGUGGGGGAUGAAGGUCUUCGGAUUGUAAACCCCUUUCGGGAGGGAAGAUGGAACGAGCAAUCGUUCGGACGGUACC
This 457-nucleotide ribosomal RNA is filed under the name uncultured bacterium. RNAcentral's name for it is "bacterial SSU rRNA". It matches the Rfam family "Bacterial small subunit ribosomal RNA", at positions 29 to 479 of the family's 1533-position model. The record is from RNAcentral.